This 509-nucleotide unclassified non-coding RNA is filed under the name Bombus terrestris (buff-tailed bumblebee). RNAcentral describes it as "misc RNA ENSBTSG00005034175.1". Lineage: Eukaryota; Metazoa; Arthropoda; Insecta; Hymenoptera; Apidae. The record is from RNAcentral.
AGGAGUUGUCUGUUUGAUGAUGGUCAUAUUUCUACAAACAUAGAUUUCAACAAUCUGUGUGUUCGUCUCCAACACAUCCUCAACUCAUCGACACUACCGUAUAUUAGGGUACUCGGCACACUCCUAAUGGACAAACGACAUUGCCUGCAGACAGUCUACAUACAUCUUUUGGCGGCUGUCGACGAACCAUGUCUGUCAGUGUAGACGAGGCACUAGAAUGCAUGGGGAGAUGUACUUUAUCUCACGUAUUUGAAAGACGCAAAACUUGGACGCAAUUUUUUCCAAACCAUGCUUAUCAAAUUGACUGCCAUGAUAUCUCAAUAACGAAUCGAUAAAUGUUUCUCAAAUUUUACAGACAUAUCAAAUAAAUGUCUCUUUAUGUGAACUAAAAUUAUGUUAAUGUCGACAAUGACUUCUUCCUUUUCGCCUGUAGAACUUACAAAUUUAAUGAACUUCUGCAUUAUAUAACUGUCAUUUUGUUAAAGAAAUUUUAUUUUGCUUCAUUCUAG